GACGUAGGGCGCGAGCGUUGUCCGGAUUUAUUGGGCGUAAAGAGCUCGUAGGCGGCUUGUCGCGUCGACUGUGAAAUCCCGCGGCUCAACUGCGGGUCUGCAGUCGAUACGGGCAGGCUAGAGUUCGGUAGGGGAGACUGGAAUUCCUGGUGUAGCGGUGAAAUGCGCAGAUAUCAGGAAGAACACCCGUGGCUAAGGCGGCUCUCUAGUACGGUACUGACGCUGAGACGCGAAAGCGUGGGGAGCGAACAGG
RNAcentral lists this ribosomal RNA (253 nucleotides) under uncultured bacterium. Its description in RNAcentral is "partial 16S ribosomal RNA". It matches the Rfam family "Bacterial small subunit ribosomal RNA", at positions 524 to 776 of the family's 1533-position model. The record is from RNAcentral.